This 203-nucleotide long non-coding RNA is filed under the name Elaeis guineensis (African oil palm). RNAcentral's name for it is "long non-coding RNA (EGUI_LNC060007)". Lineage: Eukaryota; Viridiplantae; Streptophyta; Magnoliopsida; Arecales; Arecaceae. The record is from RNAcentral.
UAGUUCAAAGGAAUUGAGACGAUCUUCAAUUGGCUCACCCCGUUCUUCAGCAAGAUCGUCAUGGGUGUCUAAUCCAUCAAUCAGAUAGGGGUUAGACUGACCAUUUCUUUGUAAGGCUAUGUUAUAGCAGUGUCUUGCCAGGACUUGAUCUCCUCUGACCUCUCCGAUCCCUUGGCUUGUAGAAAAUUUCAAUUUCAAAUGGU